RNAcentral lists this ribosomal RNA (258 nucleotides) under uncultured bacterium. RNAcentral's name for it is "partial 16S ribosomal RNA". It matches the Rfam family "Bacterial small subunit ribosomal RNA", at positions 524 to 778 of the family's 1533-position model. The record is from RNAcentral.
UACAGAGGUCUCAAGCGUUGUUCGGAUUCAUUGGGCGUAAAGGGUGUGUAGGUGGCGCCGUUAGUCGGGUGUGAAAUUUCGGAGCUUAACUCCGAAACUGCAUUCGAUACUGCGGUGCUUGAGGACUGGAGAGGAGACUGGAAUUCAUGGUGUAGCAGUGAAAUGCGUAGAGAUCAUGAGGAAGACCAGUGGCGAAGGCGGGGUCUCUGGACAGUUCCUGACACUGAGACACGAAGGCCCAGGGGGAGCAAAACGGGG